RNAcentral lists this long non-coding RNA (1568 nucleotides) under Fukomys damarensis (Damara mole-rat). Its description in RNAcentral is "lncRNA (ENSFDAG00000029756.1)". The record is from RNAcentral. Lineage: Eukaryota; Metazoa; Chordata; Mammalia; Rodentia; Bathyergidae.
GUUCCCUUUACAAGGAUGUAGUGACCUUGUUAGUCCUUCUUAAUUAGUUUUGGUUUGAAAUCUCCCUUGGCUGCCAAUAAAAUAGCUACUUUUUUUCUGGGUUUUCUCUCCCCCUCCUUUUUUUCUUUCUUUCCUGGGGAUUGAAUUUAGUGAUCUUCUGGUUUCAUUGUUUCUAGUAGUACCCUGAUUUGAAUCACAUUAUACUGUGCAUAUUUCAGUCCUUUACUUGAUUUUGAAGACUUCUGAGGCCAUGGGUUUAGGUGGGAAAGAAGUGCUUUAAUCUGAUUUCUUUACCAGGCUGUUUAUGUCCUUUUGCCCUGAGAAGUCUCAGUAGGAGGCUUGUUUCUGGCUGUUUCGGGAUAUAGAAAAGGUUAGCUUCUGCUUGUGCCUUACUGAGGACUGUGUGAUGUGUUGACUGAGCAAGUUGACAGUGUGAUUUUGUGAAAUAGAAGCAGCUUGGUAUUUAGAAUGUGUACCAUAUUAUUGGUCUCAUUGAGUUGAAUGUGUCCCAUCCAAGGUAAUCCAUGCCAUCAUCUGUGUACUGCUGGGAAAUGUAAAAGCUGAUAAUUAAACUGUGACGUGCCAGUGGUUGUGAGGUGCAUCCAGUUUUAGUAAUACUAACUUGGGGAAAAAAUGUGCAUGGAACUCGAAUUGGUAAGAUACACAUUAGAUUUAAAGCCAGACCCCUGUUGGUCCUGUUCCUUCCUGUUAUGUGAUCUUGGAUGAGUCGUUGUUGCACAGUCAUUGUUGGAUGAGCGCUUUUGUGCCAAGGCCUGAUUUUUCUGUGGAUGGGUGUAGCUAGGAAGAUCCUGGAGGAGCUCUUCUUUGCCUCCCUGUCCUGACCCUGCUCCCCCAAGCUCAUCCAUUUGUAGUGGUCAGGAGAUAUUGAAUGGAUGAAUGAAUGAAGUAUAGAAAUAAUGAAGUGGAUAGCUCAACACAUGUUCACUUUUUUCCUUCUUUUAUUUUUAUUUGUAGAAAGAAGGAACUCUCAGCCACCAAGAAAGAUCGUGUGAAUCAUUGUCUGACAAUAUGUGAAAACAUAGUGGCACAGUCUCUCAGAAAUUCUCCAGAAUUUCAGAAACUCCUGGGCAUUGCCAUGGAACUUUUCCUGUUGUGCAGUGAUGAUGCGGAGUCGGAUGUCAGGAUGGUGGCUGACGAAUGCCUCAACAAAGUUAUCAAAGUAAGAACCCGGGGGGCUCUGUCACCUCAGAGCUGCAGUCAUUGUAGCGGGGAGGAGCCACCUCUGGCCAGCAUCCUUGUGUUUGAGGUGUCUUGUUUGUGUGGGCAUUGACAUAUCCUGGGUCCUUGGGGUGGUAACAAAUAAUUUUAUUAGUAAUAUGGCUUUCACACUCUGCCCAGUGAAGUGGAGGGACAUGGUGUGACUGUGCACCUGCUGCUUUCUGUUUUGUGUUAUGUGUGUCUAAGGAAUAUUGUUGCCCAUGCGAUCUUUCCUGCCCUGGUGGCAGAUAGUCUCCAGGCCACCAUGCUUUCUGUGUUCAGGGCUUCUCUGUAGCCAUCAUCAUGCCUUUCCUGCACCUGAACUUUGUGCCUGUUGCUUUUGUCUGCCC